UACCAAAUGGCUCAGAGGUUAAAGUGUCUGCCUGCAAUGUAGGAGACCUGGGUUUGAUCCCUGGGUUGGGAA
Molecule: transfer RNA, 72 nt
Filed under: Bos taurus (domestic cattle)
Lineage: Eukaryota; Metazoa; Chordata; Mammalia; Artiodactyla; Bovidae
Also listed under: 2 other names
Rfam family: tRNA
About the family: Transfer RNA (tRNA) molecules are approximately 80 nucleotides in length.
Source: Rfam by way of RNAcentral